AGCAAUGCCGCCGCUGCUGCUGUUUUACCAUGGGCAGAUCCCUUAGGCGGUCCGAUGCUACCCGCGGGCCGUGUGUUGGAGGUGGUGGGUGGGUGAGCCAUUUUCCCCGCCCAUCUUACUCUCCGGCCCCUCGCGGUGUAGAGUAGGGCAGGCCGACCAAUACUCCUGUGAGAGGGGGCGCAGGCCCGGGACUUGUCAUUACGGCACACGCCUCCUCCUCUCUUCCGGGCGAUAAAGGCAUGAUCCAGUUGACUGGGUGUAGUCCCAAGUUUCGGAGAGAUGCUUGGGGAGGGCCGUGUAGUCGACAAGUACCUUGAGCAUACAUGUUAGUACCCGAAAGAUGGUGAACUAUGCCUGGCCAGGAUGAAGCCAGAGGAAACUCUGGUGGAGGUCCGAAGCGGCUCUGACGUGCAAAUCGAUCGUCUGAGUUGGGUAUAGGGGCGAAAGACCAAUCGAACCAUCUAGUAGCUGGUUCCCCCCGAAGUUUCCCUUAGGAUAGCUGGUGCUCAGGGAGUGAUUUACAUCCGGUAAAGAGAAUGAUUGGAGGAAUUGGGGGUGUAAUGCCCUCAAACUACUCUCAAACUUUAAAUGGGUGAGAUGUCAUGCUUGCUUGACCGGUGAAGCAUCGACGAUAAAUCA
Molecule: ribosomal RNA, 639 nt
Filed under: Pachycheles rugimanus
Lineage: Eukaryota; Metazoa; Arthropoda; Malacostraca; Decapoda; Porcellanidae
Description: eukaryotic LSU rRNA
Rfam family: Eukaryotic large subunit ribosomal RNA (bases 294-639)
Source: RNAcentral